ACUGCUCAGUAACACGUAUAGGAAUUGGCGGGGGAGCACCCUGCCCAAGGAUGGGUCUGCGGCCUAUCAGGUAGUAGUGGGUGUAAUGUACCUACUAGCCUACGACGGGUACGGGUUGUGAGAGCAAGAGCCCGGAGAUGGAUUCUGAGACAUGAAUCCAGGCCCUACGGGGCGCAGCAGGCGCGAAAACUUUACAAUGCGGGAAACCGUGAUAAGGGGACACCGAAUGCCAGCAUCCUAUGCUGGCUGUCCAGGUGUGUAAACUACACCUGUUAGCAAGGGCCGGGCAAGACCGGUGCCAGCCGCCGCGGUAACACCGGCGGCCCGAGUGGUGAUCGUGAUUAUUGGGUCUAAAGGGUCCGUAGCCGGUUUGGUCAGUCCUCCGGGAAAUCUGACAGCUUAACUGUUAGGCUUUCGGAGGAUACUGCCAGACUUGGAACCGGGAGAGGUAAGAGGUACUACAGGGGUAGGAGUGAAAUCUUGUAAUCCCUGUGGGACCACCUGUGGCGAAGGCGUCUUACCAGAACGGGCUCGACGGUGAGGGACGAAAGCUGGGGGCACGAACCGGAUUAGAUACCCGGGUAGUCCCAGCCGUAAACGAUGCUCGCUAGGUGUCAGGCAUGGCGCGACCGUGUCUGGUGCCGCAGGGAAGCCGUGAAGCGAGCCACCUGGGAAGUACGGCCGCAAGGCUGAAACUUAAAGGAAUUGGCGGGGGAGCAC
This 720-nucleotide ribosomal RNA is filed under the name uncultured archaeon. RNAcentral describes it as "bacterial SSU rRNA". It matches the Rfam family "Archaeal small subunit ribosomal RNA", at positions 148 to 879 of the family's 1478-position model. The record is from RNAcentral.